RNAcentral lists this ribosomal RNA (473 nucleotides) under Botryosphaeria dothidea. RNAcentral describes it as "eukaryotic LSU rRNA". The stretch from base 159 to 312 matches the Rfam family "5.8S ribosomal RNA". Lineage: Eukaryota; Fungi; Ascomycota; Dothideomycetes; Botryosphaeriales; Botryosphaeriaceae. The record is from RNAcentral.
CCCGAUCCUCCCACCCUUUGUGUACCUACCUCUGUUGCUUUGGCGGGCCGCGGUCCUCCGCGGCUGCCCCCUCCCCGGGGGGGUGGCCAGCGCCCGCCAGAGGACCAUCAAACUCCAGUCAGUAAACGAUGCAGUCUGAAAAACAUUCAAUAAACUAAAACUUUCAACAACGGAUCUCUUGGUUCUGGCAUCGAUGAAGAACGCAGCGAAAUGCGAUAAGUAAUGUGAAUUGCAGAAUUCAGUGAAUCAUCGAAUCUUUGAACGCACAUUGCGCCCUUUGGUAUUCCGAAGGGCAUGCCUGUUCGAGCGUCAUUACAACCCUCAAGCUCUGCUUGGUAUUGGGCACCGUCCUUUGCGGGCGCGCCUCAAAGACCUCGGCGGUGGCGUCUUGCCUCAAGCGUAGUAGAACAUACAUCUCGCUUCGGAGCGCAGGGCGUCGCCCGCCGGACGAACCUUCUGAACUUUCUCAAGGU